GUCUUUUUGGUUAUUUAAUAUAAAGUCUGACCUGCCCACUGAAUUUAUUUUGAAGGGCCGCAGUAUUUUGACUGUGCAAAGGUAGCAUAAUCAUUAGUCUUUUAAUUGAAGGCUGGUAUGAAUGGUUGGAUGAGGUACAAGCUGUGUCAUAAAAAUUAAUUUUUGAAUUUACCUUUUUAGUCAAAAGGCUAAAAUGUUCUUAAAAGACGAGAAGACCCUAUAGAGCUUUAUAUAAUUUAUAUUUAAAUUAUUAAGAUUUUUUAAAUUUAAUUAUUUUAUUAUAUUUUGUUGGGGUGACAAUAAAAUUUAUUGAACUUUUAUUUUUAUUAAUCAUUUAUUUAUGUUUAUAUGAUCCAGUUUUAUUGAUUAUAAAUUUAAGUUACCUUAGGGAUAACAGCGUAAUUUUUUUUGAGAGUUCUUAUCGACAAAAAAGAUUGCGACCUCGAUGUUGGAUUAAGAGUAAUUUUGGGUGUAGAAGUUCAAAGUUUAAGUCUGUUCGACUUUUAAAUUCUUACAU
This 517-nucleotide ribosomal RNA is filed under the name Simulium upikae. Its description in RNAcentral is "partial 16S ribosomal RNA". It matches the Rfam family "Archaeal large subunit ribosomal RNA", at positions 1911 to 2670 of the family's 2987-position model. Lineage: Eukaryota; Metazoa; Arthropoda; Insecta; Diptera; Simuliidae. The record is from RNAcentral.